Molecule: long non-coding RNA, 368 nt
Organism: Gasterosteus aculeatus aculeatus (three-spined stickleback)
Lineage: Eukaryota; Metazoa; Chordata; Actinopteri; Perciformes; Gasterosteidae
Source: Ensembl
CAUGAAAUACUCUGAUCCUUUUUAAAGAUGCUGUACUAUUGACUUUUGUACUAUUUCCUCCAUAAUAUCUGUAUUUAUUCUACAGCCCUGUUGCUGUGUCAAUAGCACAGAGGAAACAUUGGUGGUGCAGCAUGUUGAAGAAGGAAAUGAAGUGGAACCAGACGUCCAAGAAUUGGAGACGAAUUGGAGAUGAUGAAGAUCGAGACGAUGACGACGAUGAUGUUGAUGAAGAUGGAAAUGGUGAAACGUCUCAUCCUGUCCAUGGAUUAAGAGCUAUGUAAUGAACAUGUGGUCUUCUAGUGUCCAUUAGUACAACAUGUGAGAUUGGACACUGGAGCAUACAUACCAGACCAUACUGGAGAAGAUGG